Molecule: ribosomal RNA, 252 nt
Filed under: uncultured bacterium
Lineage: Bacteria
Description: partial 16S ribosomal RNA
Rfam family: Bacterial small subunit ribosomal RNA
Source: RNAcentral
UACGUAGGUGGCAAGCGUUAUCCGGAUUUAUUGGGUUUAAAGGGUGCGCAGGCGGCACGGCAAGCCGGCGGUCAAAUCGCGGGGCUCAACCCCGCCCAGCCGUCGGAACUGCCGGGCUAGAGUGGGCGAGAAGUGCGCGGAAUGCGUGGUGUAGCGGUAAAAUGCAUAGAUAUCACGCAGAACUCCGAUUGCGAAGGCAGCGCACCGGCGCCCUACUGACGCUCAGGCACGAAAGCGUGGGUAUCGAACAGG